UACGGGGGGGAGCAAGCGUUGUUCGGAUUUACUGGGCGUAAAGGGCGCGUAGGCGGCCACCGCAAGUCACUUGUGAAAUCUCCGGGCUUAACCCGGAAAGGUCAACUGAUACUGCGGGGCUAGAGUGCAGAAGGGGCAACUGGAAUUCUCGGUGUAGCGGUGAAAUGCGUAGAUAUCGGGAGGAACACCAGUGGCGGAAGGCGGUUGCCUGGGGCUUGCUGACGCUGAGGCGCGAAAGCGUGGGGAG
Molecule: ribosomal RNA, 247 nt
Filed under: uncultured bacterium
Lineage: Bacteria
Description: partial 16S ribosomal RNA
Rfam family: Bacterial small subunit ribosomal RNA
Source: RNAcentral